Molecule: long non-coding RNA, 1140 nt
Organism: Clupea harengus (Atlantic herring)
Lineage: Eukaryota; Metazoa; Chordata; Actinopteri; Clupeiformes; Clupeidae
Source: Ensembl
GGGCGGGAGUAUGUUCAGAGUUCACGGGUAUACAUUUUACUGAGAAACCACAGUUGUGAUACAGUGGAGGAUUGUUGGAAUCUUUUGCAUAUAAGGGAUUUGCAUGUGAAUGACAACACAACAGUAUUUGAGAUUCACGGAUUGUAGCUCCCAAAUGAAGGGGGCGGGAGAGACAAACAAGCGCUGCACAAUGCACCCAGAGUUGGCGGACGCGCGAACCCAGAUGGAAAAAAAAAAACGAGAACAAUAAAGGAAAAUCGUGUAUGUAACCAGUAGUGGUAGGUGACGUUUUGAAACUGACUUGGGGAAUUUGGACUUGGGGGCGGGAGAAGGCGGUAGGUGUGUAUACAAUAAAGAGGAUUGACUGACUACGGAUUUGCAGUGGUGCUGUCAUGACUGCAUUAACCUAAUCAACUUCACGUUACAAGUAUGUCAAGGUUACCUUUAAUCACAAAGAAAGAGAAACCGUUUCAAAAUGCUAUUCCAGAUGUUUAGCUAAGAUACAGAUGGGAGAAUAGGAUGUGAUAUGCCCCAUGUGAGGGACGUACUGACUUCAAAGUGACCCAGGAGAAAGGAGAUAACAACAUUUUAUCUAUUUUAAGAAAUAUCUGAUUGAGAAUUUCAGUAAAAGUUUUUUUUUUUUUUUUUGCAAAAGGUUUUAACCAAUCUGGCUAGAAGGGGUUGGAGUUAGGUGAAAAGUAUAACAAAUUAUAAUGGAUAUGUUAAAGAAAAUGCUCACUUAUAUACAGUAUGUGUGUUUCUUUCUGUUUGGUUGUAUAAAAGAUGAUGUAGGGCUGUUUAUCCUUAUCACGGUUUAUUACCCGGCCAGAGGUACGACCUUCAUCCCAUGUCUGCAGAACUGUAAUAAACGAAGCUUAUGAUACCUUAGGCCUCGGUGAGUCAGCUUCAAGAAAACUAACCAGACUGUACUUGCAAUAACACUCUACAGACCCACAGAGCAUUUUUUCUCUUUCACAGUCAGACACUUAACAGUGAGUGAGUUAUAUCCCCUUGGCACUAUAAUGUACGUGCUAGCCUACUGUAAAGUGGGAAGCUUACGAUUUGACAUUGAAAAGCUUUCCUGUCACCAAUCACAGUUAAAAUAUACUGCCCUGAUGAUGAUGUCAUAUUGCUCAAUUA